CGGAACAUAGCUUAAUUUGGCAAAGCGUUCGGCUGAUAACCGGAAGAGUAAAGGUUCGAGUCCUUUUGUUCCGACCA
Molecule: transfer RNA, 77 nt
Filed under: Pyrinomonadaceae bacterium
Lineage: Bacteria; Pseudomonadati; Acidobacteriota; Blastocatellia; Blastocatellales; Pyrinomonadaceae
Description: tRNA-Ile
Rfam family: tRNA
About the family: Transfer RNA (tRNA) molecules are approximately 80 nucleotides in length. Their secondary structure includes four short double-helical elements and three loops (D, anti-codon, and T loops). Further hydrogen bonds mediate the characteristic L-shaped molecular structure. tRNAs have two regions of fundamental functional importance: the anti-codon, which is responsible for specific mRNA codon recognition, and the 3' end, to which the tRNAs corresponding amino acid is attached (by aminoacyl-tRNA synthetases). tRNAs cope with the degeneracy of the genetic code in two manners: having more than one tRNA (with a specific anti-codon) for a particular amino acid; and 'wobble' base-pairing, i.e. permitting non-standard base-pairing at the 3rd anti-codon position.
Source: RNAcentral